This 468-nucleotide ribosomal RNA is filed under the name uncultured bacterium. Its description in RNAcentral is "bacterial SSU rRNA". It matches the Rfam family "Bacterial small subunit ribosomal RNA", at positions 28 to 508 of the family's 1533-position model. The record is from RNAcentral.
GAUGAACGCUGGCGGCGUGCCUAAUACAUGCAAGUCGAGCGAACCACUUCGGUGGGAAGCGGCGAACGGGUGAGUAACACGUAGGUAAUCUGCCCAUCAGACGGGGACAACGAUUGGAAACGAUCGCUAAUACCGGAUAGGACGAAAGUUUAAAGAUGCUCCUGGCAUCGCUGAUGGAUGAGCCUGCGGCGCAUUAGCUAGUUGGUAGGGUAAAGGCCUACCAAGGCGACGAUGCGUAGCCGACCUGAGAGGGUGAACGGCCACACUGGGACUGAGACACGGCCCAGACUCCUACGGGAGGCAGCAGUAGGGAAUCUUCGGCAAUGGGCGAAAGCCUGACCGAGCAACGCCGCGUGAAUGAAGAAGGCCUUCGGGUUGUAAAAUUCUGUUAUAAGGGAAGAAAGGUGAUAGGAGGAAAUGACUAUCAAUUGACGGUACCUUAUGAGAAAGCCACGGCUAACUACGUGC